AUCGGGCACAUUUGCAAGGCCAGUACCUACCUUUGUCCCAGGCCACAGUGACGCCUGUAACAUUAUUGCGAACAUUCUGAAAGAGGUGGAAUCGUCUAAUGGCACGAGCAGCCGACGGCAACGAAGCAACCACACGGAGCAAGAAUCCAGGAGUCUAAGUACGAGGUUACGCCGCCGCGAUUCUUCGCGAGGUUAGGAGUGCUCUGGGCUGUAGCGACCUCGGCCGAGUAUUUUUGCGCGGAACGAGUGGCUUUGUGAAGAAAGAAUGGCCGGAGUAAGUGCUCCCGUGAAAUAUGGGUUACCGAGUUAAGAGCGAGGGAACAGGGGGACGCUCG
This 335-nucleotide unclassified non-coding RNA is filed under the name Bombus terrestris (buff-tailed bumblebee). Its description in RNAcentral is "misc RNA ENSBTSG00005028350.1". Lineage: Eukaryota; Metazoa; Arthropoda; Insecta; Hymenoptera; Apidae. The record is from RNAcentral.